Molecule: long non-coding RNA, 472 nt
Organism: Pezoporus occidentalis (night parrot)
Lineage: Eukaryota; Metazoa; Chordata; Aves; Psittaciformes; Psittacidae
Exons: 4
Source: RefSeq, a predicted model, not a curated record
AUAAAGUGCAUAGUGCUGGGUUUUGGAUUUGUGACUAAACCAGUGUUGAUAAGGAACCAGUGUUUUGGCUAUUGCUGAGCAAUACUGGCACAGUGUCUACUUGUGGGACAUGGAGUGAGCCCACCACACCUACACAUCCUUGCUUGCCUUCCUUGUUUGAGCCACAGGAUUCCUUCAGAGAAAGAAAACAUGCCUCUAACCAUAAAGGCAAUGAAGGAUACUACUUCAGUAAAAAGAAUUACAGCACACCAUCAGGGACCAUGAAGAUGAUCCUGUAUGGGAAUGACAGACAGCCUGUCAUCAGCAAUGCCUCCAAAGGAAUGCAGGAGACCUGCAAAAGGGUUGUCUCCUUAGACACUGCAAGCAACUGUAUGAACACCACCUCUAUGAAGAUACUUAGGUUCUUGCUUUACUGUCUUUAUUGUAAGAUGAUAAAGAGCUCUGUAAGUAUGCCCACUUAAUAAAAACAAGC